RNAcentral lists this ribosomal RNA (465 nucleotides) under uncultured bacterium. Its description in RNAcentral is "partial 16S ribosomal RNA". It matches the Rfam family "Bacterial small subunit ribosomal RNA", at positions 28 to 507 of the family's 1533-position model. The record is from RNAcentral.
GAUGAACGCUGGCGGCGUGCUUAACACAUGCAAGUCGAACGAAAAGGCGCCUGCUUUCCGGGUUACUCGAGUGGCGAACGGGUGAGUAAAACGUGGGUAAACUGCACUUCACUUAGGGAGAAGACUGGGAGACUGGGGCUAAUACCGGGUAGGAUCUCAUGAUGCGUGUGGUGGUGUAGAGAUUUUCGGUUUGGGUUGGUCUCGUGGCUUAUCAGCUGCUUGGUGGGGUAGUGGCCGACCAAGGCGCCGACGGGUAGCCGGCCUGAGAGGGUGGACGGCCACAAUGGGACUGAGAGACGGACCAGACUCCUAUGGGAGGCAGCAGUGGGGAACAUUGCACAAUGGGCGCAAGCCUGAUGCAGCGACGCCGCGUGCGUGAUGACGGCCUUCGGGUUGUAAACACCUUUCGCAGGGGACGAAGCGCAAGUGACGGUACCUGGUCAAGAAGCCCCGGCUAACUACGUG